AUGUUGUGCCAUGCGGUCAGUUUAAUUCCCUUUACUGGCUUUAGGCUAGCUAUGGCAUCUCCAGGGUAUUUUGGUGACGGUCCUCCGAUGCGCGAGCGUGACCCGUACUUCACUGAGGUCAUCAGCCAGAGGAUGCGCGUGCCUGAGCGGCUGAGGUUCGGUCCAGCGCCUCACGCGCUCUCACCUGCAGACCAAAGACACGAAGAGCUCCCUGCUGCCUACAGCAUGCACAUCCCAGACAGACUGGCCUUAACAGAUGCUCCUGAUCUGAGUCCACGACCUCUCUUCACUAAGCACACUUCAUCAGUGUGGGACCUGCAGCAUGGGUCCUGGGACAGGGAGGCCUUCAUGAGGGAGCCUGUCCAGAGUCCACUGCGAAGGUCUUACAGCGACCAGGCCUUUGGUCGAACCCCACCUGGAACCCCCACACACUCCAGACAAACACUGCACUCCCAGUCUCCUGCCUCGCAGGAGUUCUGGCUCAGUCCUGAAGAGGACCCAGGUACUGCUGUCGAGUUCAUGGUGCUCCGCAGACAGGUGCUGAAGAUGAGCAGGAGGAUAGCAGGGCUGGAGAGACAGAACGCAGAGCACAGACAGACCGAGCUGCUGCUGUUCUCUCUGUUACUGUCUGCCUGUCUGAUCAACGGCUGGCUGUGGAUGCGCAGAUGACGGCUCACACUAUACAGACAGCACUAUAAGAGCAGCAGCGCUGUACAUCACUGCACAUUUUUCUAUAGAGAUUUACUCAAUUCGUUCUCAUAAAAAUGAUGGUCAGUGGAUGGUUUAGAAACCACUGUCAUUAGAAUGAGGCGUUAAUCUCUGAACCUUCCACUCAGAUGUGUCACGUGAUCACAGUAGGGACAUGGGCCACUUUGCAUUACAAGUGAUUUGAGCAUGUUUUUCACUGAUGAUGUCAUUCAGUAAUGCAGUCCCUCUGGCUCUUUUGAUCAGACUAGUAGCUAGUUUUUUGUAUUUGAUUUAUUCUGCAGAUUAAGUAAAUGCUGAGAUUUUCUGCAUGCUUUAGCAGUAUUUAUGAAAAUAUAAAUAUGAAUGUUUAUAUGUAUAUUUCAAUUUUUUCUUGCAGUUAGGCAUUCGAAUAGCCUUCAUCCUUUUUAACUCAUUUCCCCAGCCUGAUGUAUGCUGAAUAUUUAAAAUAAUAAAAGUUGUAAUUACUCUCA
Long non-coding RNA from Cyprinus carpio (common carp), 1178 nucleotides. The record is from Ensembl. Lineage: Eukaryota; Metazoa; Chordata; Actinopteri; Cypriniformes; Cyprinidae.